Hordeum vulgare subsp. vulgare (domesticated barley) is the source of this 119-nucleotide non-coding RNA. Lineage: Eukaryota; Viridiplantae; Streptophyta; Magnoliopsida; Poales; Poaceae. The record is from Rfam.
GGAUACGAUCAUACCUGCACUAAAGCACCGGAUCCCAUUAGAACUCCGAAGUUAAGUGUGCUUGGNNNNNAGUAGUACUAGGAUGGGUGACCUAUUGGGAAUUCCUCUUGUUGCAUUAG